UUAUGGUCCAAUCGGUAUGCCUAUCUCGGCUGUUAGAUGCUUCAUUAAGGAUUGCAUACUCAAUAUAAAUUAAUGCGCAAAAUCGGUGCCACUCUGGAAGCAUUUGGCAGUUUUAGCCCAAUAUCUCUCUGUCUGUCGCUUAUCACGCCAUUUUGAGGCCAUAAUAUUUCCUCUAAGACAUGUAGGAAGCAUUGUAAUCAUUUUCGGGCCAUUCCGAGCGGG
This 222-nucleotide long non-coding RNA is filed under the name Jatropha curcas. RNAcentral describes it as "long non-coding RNA (JCUR_LNC003087)". The record is from RNAcentral. Lineage: Eukaryota; Viridiplantae; Streptophyta; Magnoliopsida; Malpighiales; Euphorbiaceae.